RNAcentral lists this ribosomal RNA (205 nucleotides) under uncultured bacterium. RNAcentral describes it as "partial 16S ribosomal RNA". It matches the Rfam family "Bacterial small subunit ribosomal RNA", at positions 568 to 774 of the family's 1533-position model. The record is from RNAcentral.
CAUGUAGGCGGCUUAAUAAGUCGAGCGUGAAAAUGCGGGGCCCAACCCCGUAUGGCGCUGGAAACUGUUAGGCUUGAGUGCAGGAGAGGAAAGGGGAAUUCCCAGUGUAGCGGUGAAAUGCGUAGAUAUUGGGAGGAACACCAGUGGCGAAGGCGCUUUCUGGACUGUGUCUGACGCUGAGAUGCGAAAGCCAGGGUAGCAAACG